Molecule: ribosomal RNA, 207 nt
Filed under: uncultured delta proteobacterium
Lineage: Bacteria; Deltaproteobacteria
Description: partial 16S ribosomal RNA
Rfam family: Bacterial small subunit ribosomal RNA
Source: RNAcentral
CGUGCAGGCGGCUCGCUAAGUCUGAUGUGAAAGCCCCGGGCUCAACCCGGGAAGUGCAUUGGAAACUGGUGAACUUGAGUAUGGGAGAGGGAAGUGGAAUUCCGAGUGUAGGGGUGAAAUCCGUAGAUAUUCGGAGGAACACCAGUGGCGAAGGCGGCUUCCUGGACCAAUACUGACGCUGAGACGCGAAAGCGUGGGGAGCAAACA